Long non-coding RNA from Labrus mixtus (cuckoo wrasse), 199 nucleotides. RefSeq lists it as uncharacterized. Lineage: Eukaryota; Metazoa; Chordata; Actinopteri; Labriformes; Labridae. The transcript has 3 exons. The record is from RefSeq and is a predicted model, not a curated record.
UCCUUCAGGUGCGGCUCCCUUCAGCUGAUGAUUCAAUUCAAAGACACGUGGGCAGCCUGACCAAAACAAGAUGAAGAGCUGUUAACAUGUAUGCUACACCACGCUGCCUCACCUGCUUCAACAUCUGGUGUUUCCUCGCUCUGAGAACUCUGAUCUGUGCUGCAGCUGGAAGGAUUUUCUUUGGAUUAAAGUUUACCUG